This 301-nucleotide ribosomal RNA is filed under the name uncultured bacterium. RNAcentral describes it as "partial 16S ribosomal RNA". It matches the Rfam family "Bacterial small subunit ribosomal RNA", at positions 509 to 807 of the family's 1533-position model. The record is from RNAcentral.
CAGUAGCCGCGGGAAUACGAAGGGGGCUAGCGUUACUCGGAAUUACUGGGCGUAAAGGGCGCGUAGGCGGCACGAUUAGUCAGGCGUGAAAUUCCUGGGCUCAACCUGGGGACUGCGCUUGAUACGGUCGAGCUAGAGGAUGGAAGAGGGUUGUGGAAUUCCCAGUGUAGAGGUGAAAUUCGUAGAUAUUGGGAAGAACACCGGUGGCGAAGGCGGCAACCUGGUCCAUUACUGACGCUGAGGCGCGACAGCGUGGGGAGCAAACAGGAUUAGAUACCCCUGUAGUCCCUGUCUCUUAUAC